RNAcentral lists this transfer RNA (77 nucleotides) under Clostridia bacterium. RNAcentral describes it as "tRNA-His". It matches the Rfam family "tRNA". From Rfam's summary of the family: Transfer RNA (tRNA) molecules are approximately 80 nucleotides in length. The record is from RNAcentral. Lineage: Bacteria; Bacillati; Bacillota; Clostridia.
GUGGGUGUAGCUCAGUUGGUUAGAGCGUCAGGUUGUGGCCCUGAAGGUCGCCGGUUCGAACCCGGUCACUCACCCCA